RNAcentral lists this ribosomal RNA (253 nucleotides) under uncultured bacterium. Its description in RNAcentral is "partial 16S ribosomal RNA". It matches the Rfam family "Bacterial small subunit ribosomal RNA", at positions 524 to 776 of the family's 1533-position model. The record is from RNAcentral.
UACGAAGGGGCUAGCGUUGUUCGGAAUUACUGGGCGUAAAGCGCGCGCAGGCGGUCUUCCAAGUCAGUGGUGAAAGCCCGGAGCUCAACUCCGGAACUCGCCAUUGAAACUGUUAGACUUGAGGAUGAGAGAGGUGAGUGGAAUUCCCAGUGUAGAGGUGAAAUUCGUAGAUAUUGGGAAGAACACCGGUGGCGAAGGCGGCUCACUGGCUCAUUACUGACGCUCAGGCGCGAUAGCGUGGGGAUCAAACAGG